Molecule: ribosomal RNA, 415 nt
Filed under: uncultured eukaryote
Lineage: Eukaryota
Description: bacterial SSU rRNA
Rfam family: Eukaryotic small subunit ribosomal RNA
Source: RNAcentral
CAAUAGCGUAUGUUAAAGUUGUUGCGGCUAAAAGCUCGUAGUUGGAUUUCUGUUGAGGACAUCUGGUCCGCUCUAUGAGCGUGUAUCUAGUUUGGCCUCGGCAUCCGCUCUGCAAACAUGUCUGCGCUUGAUUGCGUGGCGUGGGGGUAGGGCCUUUUACUUUGAGGAAAUUAGAGUGUUACGGCAGGCAAACGCCUUGAAUACAUUAGCAUGGAAUAAUAAUAUAGGACCUGAGUUCUAUUUUGUUGGUUUCUAGAGCUUAGGUAAUGAUUAAUAGGGACACUUGGGGCCAUUCGUAUUAACGCGUCAGAGGUGAAAUUCUUGGAUUGCGUUACGACGAACUACUGCGAAAGCAUUUGGCAAGGAUGUUUUCAUUGAUCAAGAACGAAAGUGUGGGGAUCGAAGACGAUCAGAU